CAGAUAGCGAGAACGUGCUCGCCGCCGCUGACCGCUGGUUCAAUCCAUUCGCAGCACCGAGGGGUUUUCCGAAAACAUGACACUGCACAUUUUCAGCCGUACCGGGAUUAAACCGCGCCAACAGUAAACCACCAUGGCUAGGACUGGUUUCUCUCAGGGUUUCCAGCAGAUGACUUCGAUGGCGGUGGACGCGGCCCUCUGGAUGACGGCGCUGGGCACUACGGCAGCUGAAAGGUUUCUAACUUCACCGACGACGGCUUCAUUUAGUGCUGACCCUUAGUGAUAACGGCCGUGUUCAUAAUGGUCCCCGCAGCAUUAGCCACAACCCCCUGGUCAUCAUCCGACAGCAG
Molecule: long non-coding RNA, 350 nt
Organism: Puntigrus tetrazona (Sumatra barb)
Lineage: Eukaryota; Metazoa; Chordata; Actinopteri; Cypriniformes; Cyprinidae
Exons: 3
Source: RefSeq, a predicted model, not a curated record